AGGGUUUGAUUAUGGCUCAGGAUGAACGCUAGCUACAGGCUUAACACAUGCAAGUCGAGGGGCAGCGGGAUUGAAGCUUGCUUCAAUUGCCGGCGACCGGCGCACGGGUGAGUAACGCGUAUCCAACCUUCCGUACACUCAGGGAUAGCCUUUCGAAAGAAAGAUUAAUACCUGAUGGUACGAUGAGAUUGCAUGAUAGCAUCAUUAAAGAUUUAUCGGUGUACGAUGGGGAUGCGUUCCAUUAGGUAGUAGGCGGGGUAACGGCCCACCUAGCCAACGAUGGAUAGGGGUUCUGAGAGGAAGGUCCCCCACAUUGGAACUGAGACACGGUCCAA
This 335-nucleotide ribosomal RNA is filed under the name uncultured bacterium. RNAcentral's name for it is "bacterial SSU rRNA". It matches the Rfam family "Bacterial small subunit ribosomal RNA", at positions 8 to 334 of the family's 1533-position model. The record is from RNAcentral.